Long non-coding RNA from Coregonus clupeaformis (lake whitefish), 2240 nucleotides. RefSeq lists it as uncharacterized. The transcript has 6 exons. Lineage: Eukaryota; Metazoa; Chordata; Actinopteri; Salmoniformes; Salmonidae. The record is from RefSeq and is a predicted model, not a curated record.
AUAAUAAAUUAAGCUUGGAUUGAAGAUCUCUUGAUUCUUAUUCCAAUACCAGAUUUGAAUUACGCAAUUUCUAACAACUUACUGUGGCAGUUUUGCACCGAUCCAUACAGCUAUGGGUAACGUUACCUCCAUCCAACGAAACUACACUUCCAGAGUUACGCUUACACACAGGUGUUGGAGCAUGCUAGAUAGUUAAUUAGCACAGGUGGUCGCCUCUUGUCUUCCGUCAGUUUUCCGUAAACAAGCGUUGUAACGUGGAGAGAUGGUCAUGUGGGAACAUUAACCUGAACCAUGUCAAGAUGUGUAUCAAUUUAACCUUUUGUUUUUUGAAAAUGAAGGUCCUAAUGUUUCCAAACCCGUACCGCAAACGAAGCGUGUUAAUUGAGCGUCGGGGCUCUUAACAAAACUCCACCCGACAGAAGACGCCUUCGUCCAAUGACUCUUAUGUGUAAUGUAAUGGAACUGAGCGUCAUGAUCAAGGGCUACCAUCAGUUUAUCUUUUAUAUUGUAGUGCUACAGUUGUGACCAGCAUUAUGAAAAUGUCAGACCAAAUGUUUUGCUUGAGGGCUGGGAGAUAAGAAUGUAUUCCCCCUGUAACGUGGAGGCAGCCAAUAGGUCUAUAGUUGGAAAGCUAUACUGUACAGCCUAUAGCGGUCUACAGAAAGAUACAAGUUGAAAAUAUAGGAAUAUGAUUGGUGACAUUGAUUGUUUUUAAUUCUGUCUUGUUGCAGUGGAGGCUCCUUUACCUGUUGCUAUCCUGGAGCCAUACACAGCCCUACUGCUAUCCAAUGACCUGGAGGUACAGAGGACCACCUCUCUGUCGCUGGUUCAUUUGCUAGUGAAGAACAAAGACUCAAACAGAGAAGCUAUCGUGUCAGCUGAUUGGGUGAUUCCACUACUGGUUUUAGCCAAGUGUUACGAUCCUCAAGUCCAAAAGAAUGCAGUUUGGGACCAUUUAAACCUCAAACAGUCUGUUGUGACCCAGGAGCAGCCGAUGUACCUGGACUGUGUGUUGCCUCUGAAAGCUUUGCUGAACUCCCCUGCUCUCCCUCUGGCUGCAUCUGCUAUAACACUACUGUCUGAGCUAUCUACACACCAACCCAAUAGAGAGAGCCUGGUGAAUGAGAGCCUAGUACAGGUGAUAAGGCAGCUGCUCCUCUGUCACAGAUCUGUCACAGAUCUAGCUCCAUCAUCAUGAACCACAGUGUUGGUACCAUCACCAACCUCAGCAGCACCAGCGAGGGACAGCAGGCCUUGAUGGACAGUGAGUGUGUAACAGGACUUCUCGAGGCCCUUGUGUCCAGUGUGACCUCAGAGGAGACUGUUCUGUGUUACUUCCUGUUUAUAUCAGCUGACCAGCUGGGGUGAAAGGAUUGGGGUCAAUAUCAUUUCAAUUCAGCAAGUAAAUUGAAAUUCCAAUUCCUCUUUUCUUUUCAGACUCACUUCGAUCUCAUUUGGCCACAAAAAUGACCCCGGAACAUGUUUCAAGUUUGUUUAAGUUUUCUGCACAAAUGGAAAAUGCAGAGCUGUAAAAUCCAUGUAUUUUUCUUGUCGCUCAUAUAUCAUACAGACCAUGUAAUCCAACUACUGACACCACACUACGCUGCCAUCUCAGAAUAUCUACUGAUGUACCUCAAGAAUCAGGAAGUGAGAUUCCAGCAGCUGGGAUUUGUUACUCUAUGCAACCUCAAGAAAGACGGAGAGUUGUCAGUGGUGAUGAGUGGUAGUGUGCUCGACAAGCAGCUAAAGCGGGUGCAUGCACAGACGGAGCAGACAAGACAGUUACUGCAGAUGAUUCAGAAGCCUCCAUCCUCCUGACCAGUCCACUGGAGCCCUGCCUCAGGACACAGACUGAGACCUCUCUGCCUCAGGACACAGACUGAGACCUCUCUGCCUCAGGACACAGACUGAGAGCUCUCUGCCUCAGGACACAGACUGAGACCUCUCUGCCUCAGGACACAGACUGGGAUGUGGGACAUGCGUAUCACUGUUUGUACUGACUUGCCAUUACCUUUAGAACAUGACAAUGAUUGCUACUGCAUGUCAUGAUUAUGUUUUAUGAUGUUGAUGAGGUGUUCUAUUUUAUGAGGGUUUACAUCCAUAUUGCACUGGUGAACAGGGGAAAAGGAACUGAAUUGGGGUGUAUUAUAUAUUCUACACAGAUUCAAACAGAUGUAUCAGUGCAUUGCUUUAUUUGUUUUUACACUUUUGUACGUUUUAAUAAACAGGCUUACAUUUUA